Molecule: ribosomal RNA, 461 nt
Filed under: uncultured bacterium
Lineage: Bacteria
Description: partial 16S ribosomal RNA
Rfam family: Bacterial small subunit ribosomal RNA
Source: RNAcentral
GACGAACGCUGGCGGCGUGCUUAACACAUGCAAGUCGAACGGAAAGGCCCUUCGGGGUACUCGAGUGGCGAACGGGUGAGUAACACGUGGGUGAUCUGCCCUGCACUUUGGGAUAGCCUGGGGAACUGGGUCUAAUACCGAAUAGGACCACGCGCUUCAUGGUGGGUGGUGGGCAGGUUUUGCGGGGUGGGAUGGGGCCGCGGCCUAUCAGCUUGUUGGUGGGGUAAUGGCCUGCCAAGGCGACGACGGGUAGCCGGCCUGAGAGGGUGACCGGCCACACUGGGACUGCGAUACGGCCCAGACUCCUACGGGAGGCAGCAGUGGGGAAUAUUGCACAAUGGGCGCAAGCCUGAUGCAGCGACGCCGCGUGAGGGAUGACGGCCUUCGGGUUGUAAACCUCUUUCAAUAGGGACGAAGCGCAAGUGACGGUACCUAUAGAAGAAGCACCGGCCAACUACGUG